CCUACGGGGGGCUGCAGUAAGGAAUAUUGGUCAAUGGACGAAAGUCUGACCCAGCCAUCCCGCGUGCAGGAUGAAAGCCCUAUGGGUUGUAAACUGCUUUUAGCAGAGAAGAAAAGCUUUCAUUAAUGAGAGUCUGACGGUAUCUGCAGAAUAAGCACCGGCUAACUCCGUGCCAGCAGCCGCGGUAAUACGGAGGGUGCGGGCAUUAUCCGGAAUUACUGGGUUUAAAGGGUGCGUAGACGGCAUUUUUGAAAUCUUGUCGCGUAACGAUAAAAUUGCCGAUGAUACUGGUACUCUUGAAUUGGGUUGAGGGUAGCGGAAUGUGACAUGUAGCGGUGAAAUGCAUAGAUAUGGCAUGGAACACCAAUUGCGAAGGCAGCUAACUGGGCCUUGAUUGACGCUGAGGCACGAAAGCGUGGGUAGCGAACAGGAUUAGAUACCCCAGUAGUC
This 450-nucleotide ribosomal RNA is filed under the name uncultured bacterium. RNAcentral's name for it is "partial 16S ribosomal RNA". It matches the Rfam family "Bacterial small subunit ribosomal RNA", at positions 338 to 795 of the family's 1533-position model. The record is from RNAcentral.